Molecule: ribosomal RNA, 254 nt
Filed under: uncultured bacterium
Lineage: Bacteria
Description: partial 16S ribosomal RNA
Rfam family: Bacterial small subunit ribosomal RNA
Source: RNAcentral
CACGUAGGGUGCGAGCGUUGUCCGGAAUUAUUGGGCGUAAAGAGCUCGUAGGCGGUGUGUCGCGUCGGCCGUGAAAACCUGGGGCUUAACUCUGGGCUUGCGGUCGAUACGGGCAUCACUGGAGUUCGGCAGGGGAGACUGGAAUUCCUGGUGUAGCGGUGAAAUGCGCAGAUAUCAGGAGGAACACCGGUGGCGAAGGCGGGUCUCUGGGCCGAUACUGACGCUGAUGCGCGAAAGCCAGGGGAGCGAACGGG